This is a long non-coding RNA of Oncorhynchus tshawytscha (Chinook salmon), 4547 nucleotides long. Lineage: Eukaryota; Metazoa; Chordata; Actinopteri; Salmoniformes; Salmonidae. The record is from Ensembl.
CACACACACACACAUACAUAUGUAGACACACUCACACACACAUAUGUAGACACACACAGACGUAGACACACACACACACACACACACACACACCUUCCUUCUAUCUAGAUGCUUCUCUCUGUUUCUCUCUCUUCACCUUUCCACAAAGUGUUCCGUUUUCUCCGUACUUCUGCCCAUUCACUUUGCACAUGGACUUUCUAACUGCUAACUGUGGAAUGUUUGCUGCAUGACUUUCUCUUUCUCUCUGUUUCUGUUUCUUUCCUGCUCUUUGAUUGGCUGUUGAUGGUUAGGAUGAGCACAUGUGCCCGACGAGCGCAGGCUCUCCAUUGGCCUCCUCUCUGCUCAUGUUACUGCUGCCACUGUUCAUGUGCUGUCUCGGGAGGAGGACUUUGACUGUGGUGGAGCGUCCGCUCUGAGCCCAUCCCUGUUGGCCAUGGUGGCGCUGCAGCUGGCCCUGCUCUGGCUCCUGGCCGGCUCAACUCACCACGCCGUCCCCUCGUGACCUCUGAAGACCUCGGUUGCCCCCGGCAACCGGCAUGCAACGCCGCCUCAAAACGCCGAACGCUAAAACAAAAAAACAUCUGAAACCACUUCCUGACAGAUCUUCUUUUGGGAUAUUUGCGUUUUUCAAGGGUUUUGUUACAUUUCUUCACCCAGGGGUGGGAGAAAGUGAGGAAAGUUAACAUCGGCGGGAUGUAAAAAAAAUUAUAAGUGGGAACUUUCAUCCCUGACCCCUGACUUUUCCCCUCCAGCCAUCUAAGCUUCCAGCCAUCUAAGCUUAGGGAGAUCGAGGUGAUUGAGUGGUGAACUUUGACCUUUGUUUGGCUCGACGAUGACAACCCUGCGAAUGCUACAGGUUGGACUGCCUUACAGUGCCAGGGGGAAAGUGAAAGGACUGCCUCUUCCUUUUGGGUUCCUUUUAGGUUUUGGGGUUUUUGUGAUGUUCUAAAAGAGAUCCCCGUUGAUUUUUAUUCAACACUGCCAGAAACAGUGCUGCCCUUCACAACAGUCCCGUUGUGUUUGUCACAACGUUAUUUAUUUAUGUCUAAACGUUUUGCAGUGGCUUGUUACUCAGUAUUGAAAUGUGUGUUUGUUUUGUUCAAGUUGCAAUAAGUUGUUUAAUAGGAAGUCAGAAAUCAGAAUGUUUUUUAUUUUACACUGGGGUGCUGUUGGCAUUAUUCUGUUCGUUUCAACCCCAUUUAAAAGUAGCAACACAUUUACAUUCACGCUGCUGUCCUUGUAUAGAUGUGGCGUACAACGAUCAUAUUCAUUCACAUACAUGUGGUCACAUGUGAACCCUUUUGCCCCCACUCACUGUCCCCUGUUUGAAGUGAUGGAUCCCUUUCUGUUUGCGGUCAACCACUUCUCCCUCAACCUUGACCACAAAUGGUCAAUGUCGGGUCCUACCAUCUUGUUAUCUGGUCCCUCUGAACUAACCAUCAUUGUCAAAGUGCAAUUGACCAAUCAGGGCACCCCGGCUGGCCUCUAGUGCGCUCAUUGGUCUAAUCUCUAGUGCCAUGUUGAUUCUUAAUCAGGCAAACCCUUUAGCUUUAUUUAUUUGACUGUGUGGCUACUGACCUGAAGGAAACUUGAUGUGUUUGGUAUUUAUUUGAAUAUUUAAGUUUGUUUUUGUUUUUUAUUAGAAUGAAGGGCAUAGCUGCAUGCUAGUGUGUAAUGUUGACUUUAAUGCCAUUACUUUUUGAUUGAUUUCAAUGCGUCAAUGCAAUGGAUAUAAAAUGAAGAGAAAGAGUAGGGGGGGAUGUAGGAAAUGUAGACUUGGUACAUGACAGUUUAUUUGUGCUUGCUCAUGUAUCACUUCUUGAUUUGAGUAUCGUUGAAUACGUGACUUGCAACUACAAGGAUCUGUCUUUCUCACAAUGUUCUGCUCGCUAUUGAAGAGAACAUUUCCCCAAAUCAAAAACAAUUGCACCUCGUUGCAAAGUGAAUUUCCCCCCUAAAACGUAAAUUGCUUUAAGACCUAUUGGAAAUGUCUAUCAAUACACGUCAAUCUAAAUUCAUUCAUAUCAGUGUGGAUAUCAGUCCUGUUGUACUUUCUUCGUUUUUGUGUGCCUUGUGGUUCUGGUACUUUAAUAACUUUAUGAAUUAGAGAUUCAAGACAGAUUGACAAUAGGAUACUGUCUUUCUGAGUGUCUUUCUGACUAUACUAUGGUAUACACCUGUUAACUCAUUUCCCCACAAGAACAGCUACCAACAUACUACAUGAGAAAUAACAGAAAUGUGCCUCAUUUUAUUCAGGACUAAAUCUGGAUCCGUCAAUCAUCAUAGCCAAAUGAUUAUGCAGUGGAAUAACUUUGAGUGAAAGAGACAUAAGGUUAAGUUUCUUUAUUCAACGUUGUGGAAAAACGGUUUUAAUAAAACGCGGUUUUAUUAUCAUGUCAGAAUAUCAACAAUUCCUCUCUAAAUUGAUUGUAUUCGUUUAAUUGUUGAACAUGGUUCAAAAGAGGGACAUGGUAGAUAUGCUGUGCUUUUUUCUUUGUGGUGCAAUUCAGCUUGUUCGACUGGGACGUGAUCUGAUGGUCGAUUUAGUGUUACUGAUCUGUUGUAGAGCAAAUAUAGAGGAGUUCCUGGCACUGAAUUGACCUCUUAAGCACUAAACAAGAUCAUUUCAGACAAUCGAUUCCAUAACAAUUGACAAUCAUAGUUUCUGAUAACUUGCUUAAGACUAGUAUUAGUAAUACUUCAUUGAAUGAAUUGCUGUAAAUGAAAAUGCAAACCACUGCCAAAACAGGGACUUUAAAGGAGCCUUGGGGUAAUGUCAGAAACAUUCACACAUUGUUUCCUUUGAAAACAGAGGCAUAUGGACUCAGGAAACCACAUAGUCAAUUCAGUGUAGAGUUGGGAAACUACAUGAUUACGCUGUGUGGUCUCUAGUGCCAUUCAAAUACUUCUCCCACACCUCAUUAUCAUUGCUUCAAUUAUAAUUACAAAGUGUUCUUACGUCAACCAGAAUAAAAUCCAUCUGGACUUCUUCCAUUUCUCUGAAACACUGAAGAGGAAGGGGACUUUUGUUAUGAUCCCAGUCUUAAGCUAUGAUUAUUUGCCAAUAUGUUAUGUGGCGAAACUCGAGCACCAUCACCAAAGGCGGAUUGCUGUCAUGUGAGGUGACAUUUAUGGUCCCGUAUUGGUUGUUUCAAUGUUCUGUGGGGAAACUAACUAACAUCCUGUAUUUAAGACCCUCAAUAUCUAAGAACAUUCAAGAAUAUCAAGUGCCAUAGGACUCUCUUUCUCUGUUUACCGGGAAACCUAUUACUAACGUUUAUGCAACGUUUAGGAUUGAAUAAGUGCAAAUCUCAUCUAUUUCCCCUGUGUUGCAUGAUAAUGCCAUGAUACUGUAUCAGUGGCAGGCAAUGAGAUAAAGUACCCUCUAUCUUCUCCUGCUUUGGUGUGUAUUGUUGGGAUGGGAAGCAUAAUACCGUGGGUUUGUUGGGUGUUUGUUUAUGAUAUGAUAACGAUACAGCUUCUACUGCCUUUCUCUUGAGGAGACAGCAUUUGGUAUGGCCCUGAUCUGAGUGAGCGCAGUGGCCUAGCGGUUAGAGCGUUGGGCCAGUAACCGAGAUGUCACUGGAUCGAAUGCACGAGCCGACAAGGUGAAAAAGCGGUCAAUUUGCCCUUGAGCAAGGCACUUAACUUCUAAUUUGCUCCAGGGGCGCUGUACUACUAUGGCUGACCCUGUAAAACAACACAAUUCACUGCACCUCUCUGGUGUAUGUGACAAUACAUAUCUUUUCCUCUGUCACAGGUUGUCACAUUCAAGACCAGACUAGACCCUUGGGAAAUGGUGUCUGGUUAUUUCAUGCCACUCUAAGGGCUAAAAUCAGAUGCUGUCACCUCAGGAAUAACAUAUUAUCAGAGUGAUUGGAAGUGUUUUUUGAUGCUGUGGUGCUCUCUGUGUGGAUUGUGUGGGUUAUGCUUUUUCUGGACACUUUUCUGUUAUCAUGAACUCUCAGUGUGUUUUAAGGGGAGUGUUCCAUGCCUGCCACACUAUGUCAGGCUAUUGGUGGGACCGCCCCCCAAUCUUUCUCUGCCAGCGUUUUCAUGGCAGACCAUUGGUGGACAUGUCCACUAAUCUCCCCUUGUCAGCCUCCCUUUUGACAGGCUAUUGGUGAGCCUCCGCGUCAAUCUCCCUUGAUGUUACACUUUUGUGGAACUUGAUUCACCUGAAUCAGUCAUGUAUAAAUUUGUACGAUACUGUUAUUAUUCUCGGACAAAAGAAAGAAAAUAGUCAUGUUUAUAAUCCUGGAAAAUGCUUAUUCAUGUGCAAAUACAGUAUAUUCAGAAUAAAACUUUCUCAUUAGCUAUUGAAUGGUGUCCUCUUGCAGUUCUGGGCCCUUUCCUCCCCAACCCAGAUUGACUUACUGUUACUGUAACUUUGCCAAAACACAUUUCCCACUUUUCCCCACAAUGUGUGUGAGAAACUGAAAGAAGCUGCAGUCUGCUAUCCCAGUGUCCCCCAGUGACUUCCACCGGCCAAUCAGCGAUGAGAAUUGAGGCCGGGCCAACAACAACAUCCAGUUGUGAAAGUGAAG